RNAcentral lists this ribosomal RNA (782 nucleotides) under uncultured bacterium. Its description in RNAcentral is "bacterial SSU rRNA". It matches the Rfam family "Bacterial small subunit ribosomal RNA", at positions 26 to 811 of the family's 1533-position model. The record is from RNAcentral.
AGGACGAACGCUGGCGGCGUGCUUAACACAUGCAAGUCGAACGAGGGUGCAGGAGAGCUUGCUCGAAUGCAGCCGAGUGGCGGACGGGUGAGUAACGCGUGAACAAUCUGUCUCAUACAGGGGGAUAACGCGUCGAAAGACGUGCUAAUACCGCGUAGGACCACAGCACCGCAUGGUGCGGGGGUGAAAGGCUUCGGCCGGUAUGGGGUGAGUUCGCGUCUGAUUAGAUAGUUGGUGAGGUAACGGCUCACCAAGUCAACGAUCAGUAGCCGACCUGAGAGGGUGAUCGGCCACAUUGGGACUGAGACACGGCCCAGACUCCUACGGGAGGCAGCAGUGGGGAAUAUUGGGCAAUGGGCGGAAGCCUGACCCAGCAACGCCGCGUGAGGGAGGGAAGAAGGUUUUCGGAUUGUAAACCUCUGUCCUGUAUGAAGAGAAGGAGACGGUAGUACAGGAGGAAGCCCCGGCUAACUACGUGCCAGCAGCCGCGGUAAUACGUAGGGGGCGAGCGUUGUCCGGAAUGAUUGGGCGUAAAGGGCGCGUAGGCGGCCGCUUAAGUCUGGAGUGAAAGUCCUGUUUUCAAGAUGGGAAUUGCUUUGGAUACUGGGGGGCUUGAGUGCAGGAGAGGUUAUCGGAAUUCCCGGUGUAGCGGUGAAAUGCGUAGAGAUCGGGAGGAACACCAGUGGCGAAGGCGGGUAACUGGACUGCAACUGACGCUGAGGCGCGAAAGUGUGGGGAGCAAACAGGAUUAGAUACCCUGGUAGUCCACACUGUAAACGAUG